UAGANNUGAGGUCAGGCAAGACCACCCGCUGAACUUAAGCAUAUCAAUAAGCGGAGG
Molecule: ribosomal RNA, 57 nt
Filed under: Asterochloris lobophora
Lineage: Eukaryota; Viridiplantae; Chlorophyta; Trebouxiophyceae; Trebouxiales; Trebouxiaceae
Description: partial 26S ribosomal RNA
Source: RNAcentral